UACGAAGGGGGCUAGCGUUGCUCGGAUUCAUUGGGCGUAAAGGGCGCGUAGGCUGCGGGGCAAGUCGGGUGUGAAAUCUCGGAGCUUAACUCCGAAACUGCAUUCGAUACUGCCGUGCUUGAGGACUGGAGAGGAGACUGGAAUUCAUGGUGUAGCAGUGAAAUGCGUAGAGAUCAUGAGGAAGACCAGUGGCGAAGGCGGGUCUCUGGACAGUUCCUGACACUGAGACACGAAGGCCAGGGGAGCAAACGGG
Molecule: ribosomal RNA, 253 nt
Filed under: uncultured bacterium
Lineage: Bacteria
Description: partial 16S ribosomal RNA
Rfam family: Bacterial small subunit ribosomal RNA
Source: RNAcentral